AACGCACAUUGCGCCCCUUGGUAUUCCGGGGGGCAUGCCUCUUCCAGCGUCAUUUCACCCCUCAAGCUCUGCUUGGUUUUGGGCCGCGCCAGCAACGGCGGGCCUCGAAAAUAGUGGCGACGCCAUCGUGCUCUCAGCGUAGUAAUUCUUCUCGCUGUUGGGUCCCGGUGGUUGGUCCGCCAGCAACCCUCAACUUUCUUAAGUUUGACCUGGGAUGAGGUAGGGAUACCCGCUGAACUUAA
RNAcentral lists this unclassified non-coding RNA (242 nucleotides) under uncultured Helotiaceae. RNAcentral's name for it is "sequence contains ITS2". Lineage: Eukaryota; Fungi; Ascomycota; Leotiomycetes; Helotiales; Helotiaceae. The record is from RNAcentral.